This 697-nucleotide ribosomal RNA is filed under the name Chiasmocleis crucis. Its description in RNAcentral is "partial 12S ribosomal RNA". It matches the Rfam family "Bacterial small subunit ribosomal RNA", at positions 272 to 1349 of the family's 1533-position model. Lineage: Eukaryota; Metazoa; Chordata; Amphibia; Anura; Microhylidae. The record is from RNAcentral.
ACCAAGGAAGAGGAGUUGGUAUCAGGCACAACCAAUAAGCCCACGACACCUAGCCACGCCACACCCACAAGGGUAUUCAGCAGUGAUAAACAUUGUUUAUAAGCGUCAGCUUGAAUCAGUUAAGGCAAAGAGGGCCGGCAAAUCCGGUGCCAGCCGCCGCGGCUACACCGUUAGGCCCAAGUUGACACACACCGGCGUUAAGCGUGAUUAGAGUGAUUACACAGAUUAGAGUUAAACCCAAAUUUAGUCGUGAUACACUUGUCCCCGGGAAACCCAAAAACGAAAGUUACUCUAACCAACCCACUUGACCCCACGACAGCUAAGACACAAACUGGGAUUAGGUACCCCACUAUGCCUAGCCGUAAAACAUAUACUCACCCCAACAAAUCGCCAGGGAAUUACGAGCCCAAGCUUAAAACCCAAAGGACUUGACGGUGUCCCACCCACCUAGAGGACAUGUUCUAUAAUCGAUUCCCCCCGAUAAACCUCACCACUUAUAGCCAACUCAGCCUGUAUACCUCCGUCGUAAGCUUACCAUGUGAACGAAACCAGUGAGCCCAAAGAUCCCACAUCAAUACGUCAGGUCAAGGUGCAGCUAACGAACUGGGAAGAAAUGGGCUACAAUUUAUACAAUAGAACAAACGAAAGACUACAUGAAACAUAGUCACUGAAGGCGGAUUUAGCAGUAAAAAGGAAA